Molecule: ribosomal RNA, 240 nt
Filed under: uncultured bacterium
Lineage: Bacteria
Description: partial 16S ribosomal RNA
Rfam family: Bacterial small subunit ribosomal RNA
Source: RNAcentral
AGCGGCGGACGGGUGAGUAACGCGUGGGUAACCUGCCUCAUACAGGGGGAUAACAGUUAGAAAUGACUGCUAAUACCGCAUAAGACCACAGCACCGCAUGGUGCGGGGGUAAAAACUCCGGUGGUAUGAGAUGGACCCGCGUCUGAUUAGCUAGUUGGUAAGGUAACGGCUUACCAAGGCGACGAUCAGUAGCCGACCUGAGAGGGUGACCGGCCACAUUGGGACUGAGACACGGCCCAA